UUUAAUUAUCAUAUAUAAAAGUGAAAAUAUAAAAUAUAAAUUAAUUUUAGUUGGGGCAACUGGGAGGGAUAAAAAUCUUUUAUUAAAUCAUUUAUAGUAAUAUUUAUAUUUAUGAUCCAAAUUAGUCAAUUUUGAACUUAGAAU
This 144-nucleotide ribosomal RNA is filed under the name Ledella ultima. RNAcentral describes it as "partial small subunit ribosomal RNA". The record is from RNAcentral. Lineage: Eukaryota; Metazoa; Mollusca; Bivalvia; Nuculanida sp.; Nuculanidae.